UUUGUCGUGUUUAUUUAUUGUUCUCUAUUCUUGUCUAUCUGACUUUUUAUUCCCUAAUUCUCAUAUUUUAACACUCCAUUUUUCUCUUUCAUUUGUUUCUGUACUUUUUUGCAAUAAGUUCUUUGUCGUUUAUUUUUGUCCAUUAUUCUAUAUUAUGUAGACUGACUUUAUCCUGACCGUCCUAAAUACGAGUUCGCUGUCGCUAAACCUUAAUGAUAACUAUAACAAUCAUGUGUUUUAGCUUGGAUUACGUGGUUAUUAUUCAGCAAUUAUAGCAUACUUAAUAACCUAG
This 292-nucleotide long non-coding RNA is filed under the name Mytilus galloprovincialis (Mediterranean mussel). Lineage: Eukaryota; Metazoa; Mollusca; Bivalvia; Mytilida; Mytilidae. The record is from RNAcentral.